This is a long non-coding RNA of Cloeon dipterum, 339 nucleotides long. RefSeq lists it as uncharacterized. The record is from RefSeq and is a predicted model, not a curated record. The transcript is spliced from 3 exons. Lineage: Eukaryota; Metazoa; Arthropoda; Insecta; Ephemeroptera; Baetidae.
UGUCCCAUGAUUCCCAUCAACAGCUUCAACUGGUUCUGGGCGUCUAGGUUCUAAGUAUACCUAUUUUAUGGAAGAUAAGAAAAAACUGUUUCUAAUCAGAUUUGAUUUCUAAGCCGUUUUUUUGCAAAUAUAGUGAUAGCCGAGGGUUCUGUAAUAUGCCGCUUGUAAUGUGGCUUUUGAUGUUUAUUCUACAAAAGACGAACCCUUCAAUUGUUAAAAUUGUUUUAACAAAAAGCAAAUAUCCUUCCUUGCCGUCAGUAAUUGAUAUUCCUUUGAAAGUCAUCAUUCAAAGAGAGAUCAUUGUCAAGUGCUGUAGCAAACCAGCCCGUUGGCUCGCAU